Molecule: long non-coding RNA, 240 nt
Filed under: Hordeum vulgare
Lineage: Eukaryota; Viridiplantae; Streptophyta; Magnoliopsida; Poales; Poaceae
Description: long non-coding RNA (HVUL_LNC014780)
Source: RNAcentral
GACUUAACCUGAAUUGUCACGGGGGAUUACAUCCAUGCAAUGCACCAUCGCAUAACUACUAGACAAAAAUACGAAAAUAAUUAUUACACCAAUGGCACUGUUUCGACCGCGCGGCUAAAUGCAAUGACGAAGGGAAAAGGCUAGCUAGCGCCAGCAGCUCACAGAUUGUAGCCGCCUGCGGCAGCAGGUUUGUCAGCGGCAGCAGUUUUGGCAGGUUUGUCAGCGGCAGCAGUUUUGGCA